CGUAGGACUACUAGAGUUUCGCGCUUCCGAGAUGAGCAACAAGCAGCUGCAAGGAGGUAUAAUGGUCACAGUGGAAGACAUCUGCACUAAAUUAUCUUUAUAGGGCUGCACAAACAAAUGGUGCGAUGGAUCGCGUACAGACCAAUAGGGUGUCGGAAUGGAAUAUGUUUAUACUUCUCAUCCAAUCACAAUCAAAUUCACCUCAUCUGGACGGCGCGAUUUAUCUGGGUAGUUUUUUUUUUCAGUAACGAAGCUAUUUUUAAAAUGUAAGGAGUAGAAAGUACAGAUAAUUGUGUGAAAAUGUAAGCAGUAGAAGUAAGAGUCGGCUGAAAAAUAAUUACUCCAGAAAGUAUAGAGACCCCAAAUUUCUACUUAAGGUAACAAAAUAUUUGUACUUCGUUACUUGAAACCUCUGGUAAACACUUGCAUUUUAGUGUCCCAUCAGGUAAUGAAAAGUUAGACACACACUUGUGGUCUUCAUCCUCACUUGAACACUUGGGUCAAAUACAGGAAAUACGUCAAAGAAGUAGUUAAGUGCAAAGACCACAAGUGUGGAUAUUUGGACAAGGCUUAAGUGCAUUCUUUGUCUAAGGCCACAUCAUGAAUAAACAAAUCAGUAUAAACCAUGAGGAAACAAAUGGUUUUUCUCUGAGCUCCUGUGGUUUCUGCAGAUGCAUUAUCUACAUACAGAUAUAUAAUUGUAGUGUAAACACCAGUGUUGGGUGUUUUAUACUUUUAUACAUUUUAUACUUUUAGGUCAACUUUGACCUGCUUAACUCAUUUAAAUGAGUAGAACUUUGAGUGAGAACAAAUUCAUCUGCUGUAAGUGCAGAAUCAGACAAUUUAGAAUGUUUACACUGCAGCAUGAUGAAUGUUACAGUCUGUAUCUGUUUAUAAUGUGCUAAUAACGAAGAAUUUAGCUUAUGAAAUAUCAGAAUGGUGUUUAUGAACUGUGUAGUAAUACAGACAAAGCAUAAUGUGCACGAAAGACCCAAAAUGUUGGUUUUUGUUAGGAGUGGACAAAAUUAGCAUUAGUGACUGCUAAUGUAAUGUCGGCUGCAUGUACAUGUCAGUGAGUAUGAAAUAUGGUACUUAUAGCUUUGAAAUGAUUAAUACAGCUUAAAAUAUCUCAAAUUGUGUUCUGAAGAUGAACAAAGCUUUUAUGGGUUUGGAACGACAUUUGGGUAAGUGAUUAAUGACAAAAAUUUUCAUUUAGCAGUGGUGUAUUCCUUAAAGUUACUUUUCAGUCUGAGUAAUUAGAAAAGUAAUUUAAAUACAUUUAUAAAAUGUAAAUUUUGUCCCAGAAAGCAUUUAUUGAAAUACUUGCCGUCUGAUCUUGUGUGUUUGCAGAUCUUGCGGUGAAGGUAUGUCUUGCCCACAGAUAAAGCCAUAACCAGUAAUAUCACUACACCAGUUAGUUUCAAUGGGUUAAGUUGUGACAGCUGAAUGACAUUUAUCAGAAUCAGAAUCAGAUUCAGAAAGAGCUUUAUUGCCAAGUAUGUUUGCGCAUACAAGGAAUUUGUUUUGGUGACAUUAGCUUCCAGUA
This is a long non-coding RNA of Carassius auratus (goldfish), 1546 nucleotides long. RefSeq lists it as uncharacterized. The transcript is spliced from 3 exons. Lineage: Eukaryota; Metazoa; Chordata; Actinopteri; Cypriniformes; Cyprinidae. The record is from RefSeq and is a predicted model, not a curated record.